CCUACGGGGGGCAGCAGUGGGGAAUAUUGCACAAUGGGGGAAACCCUGAUGCAGCAACGCCGCGUGAAGGAAGACGGUUUUCGGAUUGUAAACUUCUGUUCUUAGUGAAGAAUAAUGACGGUAGCUCAGGAGCAAGCCACGGCUAACUACGUGCCAGCAGCCGCGGUAAUACGGAGGGUGCAAGCGUUACUCGGAAUCACUGGGCGUAAAGAGCGCGUAGGCGGGAUAGCAAGUCAGAUGUGAAAUCCUAUGGCUUAACCAGAGAACUGCAUGUGAAACUGUUAUUCUAGAGUAUGGGAGAGGUAGGUGGAAUUCUUGGUGUAGGGGUAAAAUGCGUAGAGAUCAAGAGGAAUACUCAUUGCGAAGGCGACCUGCUAGAACAUAACUGACGCUGAUGCGCGAAAGCGUGGGGAGCAAACAGGAUUAGAUACCCUUGUAGUC
Molecule: ribosomal RNA, 441 nt
Filed under: uncultured bacterium
Lineage: Bacteria
Description: partial 16S ribosomal RNA
Rfam family: Bacterial small subunit ribosomal RNA
Source: RNAcentral